Molecule: ribosomal RNA, 1518 nt
Filed under: metagenome
Description: bacterial SSU rRNA
Rfam family: Bacterial small subunit ribosomal RNA
Source: RNAcentral
AGAGUUUGAUCCUGGCUCAGAAUGAACGCUGGCGGCGUGCCUAACACAUGCAAGUCGAACGAGAAAUUUCCGCUUCGGUGGAGAAAGUAAAGUGGCGCGCGGGUGAGUAACGCGUGGGUAACCUGCCUUUGAAUCUAGGAUAACCCCGUGAAAACGGGACUAAUACUGGAUAAUGUCCCUUUGGCUGUGGCCAUAGGGAUGAAAGGUGACCUCUUCAUGAAAGUUGCCGUUCAAAGAGGGGCCCGCGUACCAUUAGCUUGUUGGUGGGGUAACGGCCUACCAAGGCUACGAUGGUUAGCUGGUCUGAGAGGAUGAUCAGCCACACUGGAACUGGAACACGGUCCAGACUCCUACGGGAGGCAGCAGUGAGGAAUUUUGCGCAAUGGGGGAAACCCUGACGCAGCAACGCCGCGUGAGUGAUGAAGAUUUUCGGAUCGUAAAGCUCUGUCAAGCGGGAAAAAAAUCUUUCGGUUAAUACCCGGAAGAACUGAUGGUACCGCUGGAGGAAGCACCGGCUAACUCCGUGCCAGCAGCCGCGGUAAUACGGAGGGUGCAAGCGUUGUUCGGAUUUACUGGGCGUAAAGAGCGUGUAGGUGGUUUAGCAAGUCAGAUGUGAAAGCCCUGGGCUCAACUCAGGAAGUGCAUUUGAAACUACUAUUCUAGAGUAUGGGAGAGGAGAGUGGAAUUCCCAGUGUAGAGGUGAAAUUCGUAGAUAUUGGGAGGAACACCGGUGGCGAAGGCGACUCUCUGGACCAAUACCGACACUGAGACGCGAAAGCGUGAGGAGCAAACAGGAUUAGAUACCCUGGUAGUCCACGCCGUAAACGAUGAGAACUAGGUGUAGCGGGUAUUGACCCCUGCUGUGCCGCAGCUAACGCAUUAAGUUCUCCGCCUGGGGAGUACGGCCGCAAGGUUAAAACUCAAAGGAAUUGACGGGGGCCCGCACAAGCGGUGGAGCAUGUGGUUUAAUUCGAUGCAACGCGAAGAACCUUACCAGCCCUUGACAUCCUCGGAAUCCAGCGGAGACGUUGGAGUGCCUUCGGGAGCCGAGUGACAGGUGCUGCAUGGCUGUCGUCAGCUCGUGUCGUGAGAUGUUGGGUUAAGUCCCGUAACGAGCGCAACCCUUGUCCUUAGUUGCCAGCACAUAAUGGUGGGAACUCUAAGGAGACUGCCGGUGAUAAACCGGAGGAAGGUGGGGAUGACGUCAAGUCAUCAUGGCCCUUAUGGGCUGGGCUACACACGUGCUACAAUGGCCGGUACAGAGAGUUGCGAAGCGGCGACGUGGAGCCAAUCUCAGAAAACCGGUCGUAGUCCGGAUCGCAGUCUGCAACUCGACUGCGUGAAGUCGGAAUCGCUAGUAAUCGCGAAUCAGAAUGUCGCGGUGAAUACGUUCCCGGGCCUUGUACACACCGCCCGUCACACCAUGGGGGUUGGUUGCACCAGAAGUAGGUAGCUUAACCUUCGGGAGAGCGCUUACCACGGUGUGGUCAAUGACUGGGGUGAAGUCGUAACAAGGUA